Molecule: ribosomal RNA, 1427 nt
Filed under: Curvularia lunata
Lineage: Eukaryota; Fungi; Ascomycota; Dothideomycetes; Pleosporales; Pleosporaceae
Description: partial small subunit ribosomal RNA
Rfam family: Eukaryotic small subunit ribosomal RNA
Source: RNAcentral
UGUUUUUAAGCCAAUUAUACCGUGAAACUGCGAAUGGCUCAUUAAAUCAGUUAUCGUUUAUUUGAUAAUACCUUACUACUUGGAUAACCGUGGUAAUUCUAGAGCUAAUACAUGCUGAAAAUCCCGACUUCGGAAGGGAUGUGUUUAUUAGAUAAAAAACCAAUGCCCUUCGGGGCUCUUUGGUGAUUCAUGAUAACUUUACGGAUCGCAUAGCCUUGCGCUGGCGACGGUUCAUUCAAAUUUCUGCCCUAUCAACUUUCGAUGGUAAGGUAUUGGCUUACCAUGGUUUCAACGGGUAACGGGGAAUUAGGGUUCGAUUCCGGAGAGGGAGCCUGAGAAACGGCUACCACAUCCAAGGAAGGCAGCAGGCGCGCAAAUUACCCAAUCCCGACACGGGGAGGUAGUGACAAUAAAUACUGAUACAGGGCUCUUUUGGGUCUUGUAAUUGGAAUGAGUACAAUUUAAACCUCUUAACGAGGAACAAUUGGAGGGCAAGUCUGGUGCCAGCAGCCGCGGUAAUUCCAGCUCCAAUAGCGUAUAUUAAAGUUGUUGCAGUUAAAAAGCUCGUAGUUGAAACUUGGGCCUGGCUGGCGGGUCCGCCUCACCGCGUGCACUCGUCCGGCCGGGCCUUCCUUCUGAAGAACCUCAUGCCCUUCACUGGGCGUGUUGGGGAAUCAGGACUUUUACUUUGAAAAAAUUAGAGUGUUCAAAGCAGGCCUUUGCUCGAAUACGUUAGCAUGGAAUAAUAAAAUAGGGCGUGCGUUUCUAUUUUGUUGGUUUCUAGAGACGCCGCAAUGAUUAACAGGAACAGUCGGGGGCAUCAGUAUUCAGUUGUCAGAGGUGAAAUUCUUGGAUUUACUGAAGACUAACUACUGCGAAAGCAUUUGCCAAGGAUGUUUUCAUUAAUCAGUGAACGAAAGUUAGGGGAUCGAAGACGAUCAGAUACCGUCGUAGUCUUAACCGUAAACUAUGCCGACUAGGGAUCGGGCGAUGUUCUUUUUCUGACUCGCUCGGCACCUUACGAGAAAUCAAAGUUUUUGGGUUCUGGGGGGAUUAUGGCCGCAAGGCUGAAACUUAAAGAAAAUUGACGGAAGGUCACCACCAGGGCGUGGAGCCUGGCGGCUUAAUUUGACUCCACCCGGGGAAACUCCCCAGGGUCCAAAUGAAUUAAGGAUUGGACGAUUGGAGAGCUCUUUCUUGAUUUUUCAGGGGGGGGGGGCAUGGCCGUUCUUAAUUCCGGGGGGGGAACUGGCUUGCUUAAUUGCCAAUAACCGACCAGAACCUUAACCUUGCUAAAUUAGCCAGGGUUAGCUUUUGGCUGGGCCCCCCGGUUCUUUAAAGAGAAACUUUCACUCCAGGUGUGUUGGGAAGUUUGGAAGGCAAAAACAGGGCUUGGGGAGGCCCUUUAAAGUUUUUGGGGGGCCCAA